RNAcentral lists this long non-coding RNA (918 nucleotides) under Homo sapiens (human). RNAcentral describes it as "HSALNT0365846". The record is from RNAcentral. Lineage: Eukaryota; Metazoa; Chordata; Mammalia; Primates; Hominidae.
AUGAUCUACUAAUGUUCUAGCUCAAAACAUCAAGAAGAAGCUUGUGGCUGGGUGUGUGGCCUUGAGUGAAAUCUGGGGAGAAAGGUGAACCAGGAGAGAAAAUAUUCUACCAGCUAGCCUGCUAGAAAUGCAAGCCUUCCUCACAUGGGUCUAUGAACACCUAAUAUCCUAUUCCCAUAAGGAUCCACAGGCACACUGGAAGUCCAUGAAGAGCCUAAAAUCUAUAAAAAUAACCUUGGCUGCUUACCCAUAGCAAUUACUUCCUGCUGAGGUCUUCAGUAAUAUUGGUUUGAGGUUCUGAAGUGUAUUUUGAUGGGAAUUCCCAAUGGCUGGCAGUCCUUCUAGAAUCUGAGGUCUCAUAUGGGCUCACGUGCUCUGCUUGAGCUCCUCUUUCCUGUGUCACCAUCUAAAAAGUAUCCUUGGUCAGAAAGCUUAAUACCUCCUCUGAAGACUGAUAAUAUACAUCAUCUUCCUGGACCAGUCUACAAGUGAGGGACAGUGAAUAUUUUGAAUGGCAGCUUUUAGAUAACAAAUCCUCAAAGAGAGAUAGAGUCUUACUCAUCUCUAACAUGUGCUUGACUGUGGAAGACUGCCAAUUAAUAAUGAUUGAGUGAUUUGCUAAAUAAAUAAAAUCUCUGAACAUUGCAGUUAAUGUUAUUUUGGAGAAAAUAAGCAGAAGGCAUGGGGACUGGAAGUUGUGAGGUACGAUGAGGCUUUUGCUGAUACAGGAAUGAUGUCCUCACCCACUGGGCCAUAGGAGUGGCCUCCCAGGAUCAAAGAACAUGGGGAGCCAGCACUGUAUUUUGAAUCAGUAAAUUGUCACAGUUUUUUAUUGGCUGGACCCAGGAAAGCAUGAAACUGGCUGGAAUUGCAGGAGAUAUUUGAGUUAGACACGUCAGAGGACUUCCUGGCCUGAAG